Paramormyrops kingsleyae is the source of this 915-nucleotide non-coding RNA. The record is from RefSeq and is a predicted model, not a curated record. Lineage: Eukaryota; Metazoa; Chordata; Actinopteri; Osteoglossiformes; Mormyridae.
CCCAGCCCUGUGCCCUGUGAUGGACUGGCAUUCCACCCAGGGUGUACCCAGCCCUGUGCCCUGUGAUGGACUGGCAUCCCACCCAGGGUGUACCCCAGCCUAAUGUCUUUCUCUCCCUGGGCUACUCAGACAAUCAGUUCUUACGACCGCUGGUAGGUUUUCUGUUUUUUUCAUUUUAAUGGUAUAUGCUGCACUAGCUGUUCAAAGGGUAUUUGUGUUUAACAAGUUUCUGUCUUUUUAAGGCUACAAUGUGGCUCUUGCUUUUUUCCCUCUGCGCUGAUGUCUCAGUGCUGGGCAUAAACUUUCAUCCAUUUCCUCUUCCUUAAAAUCACUGGUUGAGCAGGCAGUACCUGCAGCUCAGAAAUAGGAAGUUGCUGUUUUGCUCUGCACAGGUCUUGCAUGCAGUGCCCAUCACCAAAAGCAGAGCAGGGGAAAUAUGCUGAUUUGUUUCCAUUUCAGGAGGAGGGUCAGGCCCAGCAGCAGGCUCCACUUCUGUCUGCCUGACAAGUCCCUGCGUGAUGUUUUUAGAUACAGGAAUUACCGAGAAUGUUUCUGAAUACAGGGCAAAUGUGUAGCCUUGCGUCUCAUCUUCAUCUUCGCAUUGACCCACUGGCUACCAGAUCCCCGGAACGUGACCCUGAUAAGAUUACAGACUUUGACUCGGACAUCUGCUUACCUUUUUGGCUCUUUCUGGUUUCGACCCUGCUUGCCUGAGCAACUCUGUUUCUGCCUGCUCUCCCAUGGGUGUUUCUGUUUUCUAUUCUAUUUCUUUCUUCAAUUUCUAUUCAUAAUUUAUUCAUUAUAUAUUGUUCAGUACACUCACUGUUUCACCUGAUGGUACUAUUUUUCUAGUUUCAUAGCUUGAAAAAAUAUUUGAACACUCACAAUUACCAUAUUAAAAGUUUCCAAAGAGUU